GACGAACGCCGGCGGCGUGCUUAACACAUGCAAGUCGAACGGAAAGGCCCUGCUUUUGUGGGGUGCUCGAGUGGCGAACGGGUGAGUAACACGUGAGUAACCUGCCCUUGACUUUGGGAUAACUUCAGGAAACUGGGGCUAAUACCGGAUAGGAGCUCCUGCUGCAUGGUGGGGGUUGGAAAGUUUCGGCGGUUGGGGAUGGACUCGCGGCUUAUCAGCUUGUUGGUGGGGUAGUGGCUUACCAAGGCUUUGACGGGUAGCCGGCCUGUGAGGGUGACCGGCCACAUUGGGACUGAGAUACGGCCCAGACUCCUACGGGAGGCAGCAGUGGGGAAUAUAGCACAAUGGGCGGAAGCCUGAUGCAGCAACGCCGCGUGCGGGAUGACGGCCUUCGGGUUGUAAACCGCUUUGGCCUGUGACGAAGCGUGAGUGACGGUAAUGGGUAAAGAAGCACCGGCUAACUACGUG
Molecule: ribosomal RNA, 468 nt
Filed under: uncultured bacterium
Lineage: Bacteria
Description: partial 16S ribosomal RNA
Rfam family: Bacterial small subunit ribosomal RNA
Source: RNAcentral